RNAcentral lists this ribosomal RNA (425 nucleotides) under uncultured bacterium. Its description in RNAcentral is "bacterial SSU rRNA". It matches the Rfam family "Bacterial small subunit ribosomal RNA", at positions 355 to 775 of the family's 1533-position model. The record is from RNAcentral.
UCGAGAAUCUUCGGCAAUGGACGAAAGUCUGACCGAGCGACGCCGCGUGCGGGAUGAAGGCCUUCGGGUUGUAAACCGCUGUCAGAGGGGAUGAAAUGCACUAGGGUUCUCCCUGGUGCUUGACAGAGCCUCAGAGGAAGCACGGGCUAAGUACGUGCCAGCAGCCGCGGUGAUACGUACUGUGCAAACGUUAUUCGGAAUUACUGGGCUUAAAGGGUGUGUAGGCGGCCAGUUAAGUAGGGUGUGAAAGGCCUCGGCCUAACCGAGGCACUGCGCUCUAAACUGACUGGCUUGAGUGAGAUAGGGGUGUGCGGAACUUCCAGUGGAGCGGUGAAAUGUGUUGAUAUUGGAAGGAACGCCGGUGGCGAAAGCGGCACACUGGGUCUCGUCUGACGCUGAGACACGAAAGCCAGGGGAGCGAACGG